UUCCCGGGCCUUGUACACACCGCCCGUCACGUCACGAAAGUCGGUAACACCCGAAGCCGGUGGCCAACCCCUUGUGGGGAGGGAGCUGUCGAAGGUUGGGAACUGGCGAUUGGGACG
This 117-nucleotide ribosomal RNA is filed under the name uncultured bacterium. RNAcentral describes it as "partial 16S ribosomal RNA". It matches the Rfam family "Bacterial small subunit ribosomal RNA", at positions 1371 to 1482 of the family's 1533-position model. The record is from RNAcentral.